RNAcentral lists this ribosomal RNA (640 nucleotides) under uncultured bacterium. RNAcentral describes it as "bacterial SSU rRNA". It matches the Rfam family "Bacterial small subunit ribosomal RNA", at positions 249 to 885 of the family's 1533-position model. The record is from RNAcentral.
UUGGUGGGGUGAUGGCCUACCAAGGCGACGACGGGUAGCCGGCCUGAGAGGGUGUCCGGCCACACUGGGACUGAGAUACGGCCCAGACUCCUACGGGAGGCAGCAGUGGGGAAUAUUGCACAAUGGGCGCAAGCCUGAUGCAGCGACGCCGCGUGGGGGAUGACGGCCUUCGGGUUGUAAACCUCUUUCACCAUCGGCGAAGCCAGAUGCUUUUGUGUCUGGUGACGGUAGGUGGAGAAGAAGCACCGGCCAACUACGUGCCAGCAGCCGCGGUAAUACGUAGGGUGCGAGCGUUGUCCGGAAUUACUGGGCGUAAAGAGCUCGUAGGUGGUUUGUCGCGUUGUCCGUGAAAUUCCCUGGCUUAACUGGGGGCGUGCGGGCGAUACAGGCAGACUGGAGUACUGCAGGGGAGACUGGAAUUCCUGGUGUAGCGGUGGAAUGCGCAGAUAUCAGGAGGAACACCGGUGGCGAAGGCGGGUCUCUGGGCAGUAACUGACGCUGAGGAGCGAAAGCGUGGGGAGCGAACAGGAUUAGAUACCCUGGUAGUCCACGCCGUAAACGGUGGGUACUAGGUGUGGGUUUCCUUCCUUGGGAUCCGUGCCGUAGCUAACGCAUUAAGUACCCCGCCUGGGGAGUACGG